CUACCAUGCAAGUCGAGCGCCCCGCAAGGGGAGCGGCGGACGGGUGAGUAACGCGUGGCCANUUUUUCCUGGAGUACGGAACAACCGAGGGAAACUUCGGCUAAUACCGUAUGAUGCCGAGAGGCCAAAGAUUUAUCGCUCUGGGGUGAGCCCGCGUCAGAUUAGGUAGUUGGUGGGGUAAUGGCCUACCAAGCCUGCGAUCUGUAGCUGGUCUGAGAGGACGAUCAGCCACACUGGGACUGAGACACGGCCCAGACUCCUACGGGAGGCAGCAGUGGGGAAUCUUGCGCAAUGGGCGAAAGCCUGACGCAGCCAUGCCGCGUGAGUGAAGAAGGUCUUAGGAUUGUAAAGCUCUUUCGCUCGUGACGAUGAUGACGGUAACGAGAGAAGAAGCCCCGGCUAACUUCGUGCCAGCAGCCGCGGUAAUACGAAGGGGGCUAGCGUUGUUCGGAAUUACUGGGCGUAAAGCGCGCGUAGGCGGUUUUGCAAGCCAGAGGUGAAAUGCCUGAGCUCAACUCAGGAAUGGCCUUUGGGACUGCGAGGCUUUGAGGACUGGAGAGGUGAGUGGAAUUCCCAGUGUAGAGGUGAAAUUCGUAGAUAUUGGGAAGAACACCGGUGGCGAAGGCGGCUCACUGGCCAGUUUCUGACGCUGUAGCGCGAAAGCGUGGGGAUCAAACAGGAUUAGAUACCCUGGUAGUCCACGCCGUAAACGAUGANUUGCUAGGCGUCGGCAUGCAUGCAUGU
RNAcentral lists this ribosomal RNA (744 nucleotides) under uncultured bacterium. RNAcentral's name for it is "bacterial SSU rRNA". It matches the Rfam family "Bacterial small subunit ribosomal RNA", at positions 49 to 840 of the family's 1533-position model. The record is from RNAcentral.